Molecule: non-coding RNA, 361 nt
Filed under: Microbacterium sp. SCN 70-200
Lineage: Bacteria; Bacillati; Actinomycetota; Actinomycetes; Micrococcales; Microbacteriaceae
Description: bacterial SSU rRNA
Rfam family: Bacterial small subunit ribosomal RNA
Source: RNAcentral
UUUACGGAGAGUUUGAUCCUGGCUCAGGAUGAACGCUGGCGGCGUGCUUAACACAUGCAAGUCGAACGGUGAAAGCGGAGCUUGCUCUGCUGGAUCAGUGGCGAACGGGUGAGUAACACGUGAGCAAUCUGCCCCUGACUCUGGGAUAAGCGCUGGAAACGGCGUCUAAUACUGGAUACGAGCUGCGAAGGCAUCUUCAGCAGCUGGAAAGAAAUUCGGUCAGGGAUGAGCUCGCGGCCUAUCAGCUUGUUGGUGAGGUAACGGCUCACCAAGGCGUCGACGGGUAGCCGGCCUGAGAGGGUGACCGGCCACACUGGGACUGAGACACGGCCCAGACUCCUACGGGAGGCAGCAGUGGGGA